Long non-coding RNA from Bufo bufo (common toad), 235 nucleotides. RefSeq lists it as uncharacterized. The transcript is spliced from 3 exons. The record is from RefSeq and is a predicted model, not a curated record. NCBI's taxonomy places the organism in Eukaryota, Metazoa, Chordata, Amphibia, Anura, Bufonidae.
AUCUGGCCAGAUUGGCCAACUUUCACAAAGACAGUGAAACAGGGAAAAGUCAACACUAUCAAAGGCAAAUGGAAAAGCCUGAAAGACGCCUUUAUCCGCCAUAGGCGCAAACAAAGGGAGCAGAGGAGCGGAUCGUCCCCAAGCGCACGCUCCAGUUACGUGCAUGCCCAACAGAUGUCUUUUUUGAUUCCAUGCACGGAAAUGCGGAGCACCGAUAGUAGCUGGGAACCCAGCC